GAGGACAGUGAGGAAGGAUAUCCACAUAUCAACUCCACUCUGAUGAUCUUUGCAGAUGUGGAAAGCAAGAUUCGAUUGAAAGUCAUUAACCGAGAGGUGAACAUGGUCGCCCCAGCAAAAGCAAAUUAUCUGAGAUGGUCCCAAACACCCAUCACAUUCGACCAAUCUGAUCACCCGACUCAUAUUGCCACCCCUGGGAGGCAAGCUUUGGUGGUCGAUCCAGAUGUCGAAGGCACUCGACUGACAAAAGUGCUGAUGGACGGUGGUAGUGGGCUGAAUUUGUUGUAUGCAGACACGCUGAAAGGAAUGGGCAUUCUGAUGUUCCGACUGAGCACCAGUAACAUGAGCUUUCAUGGAGUUAUACCAGGGAAGAAAGCCGAGUCACUCGGCCAAAUAGCUCUAGACGUGGUGUUUGGUGAUUCGAAACAUUUUCGCAAAGAGAAGUUGACGUUUGAGGUCGUGGAUUUU
RNAcentral lists this ribosomal RNA (468 nucleotides) under Triticum aestivum (bread wheat). RNAcentral describes it as "partial small subunit ribosomal RNA". The record is from RNAcentral. Lineage: Eukaryota; Viridiplantae; Streptophyta; Magnoliopsida; Poales; Poaceae.